UAACAACCCAAGCCCAAUAACCCUAAAACCUUAGAAAAAAGCUUAAAAAACAAUCCUAGACCUAAAAAUAGGGAUCAACCGUUAGAGAGAAUACACAAGAGCUUCCGCUCAUCUUCUUCAACAGACCUUAGCCAUUUCCCUCAUCUGAUUUUGCUUCUUCUUCACUCUGAAUACACGCGCACACACAAAAACCAACGAUACCCUUUAAGACUUUUCAGCCCGUGAACACAGAGAACCCUCCCCCCCAUUUUGGAUGUCGGAGUGACGGAGAAACAAGGUCACGAAACAGAAGGAUUUUUGAAGAAACCAUUCAUCUUAUCUUCAUCAUGGCAGCUACUUUGUCACCUUGAGGAUCGCCUCUUUCACUUCUUCAAUUGUUUUUUUUCUUUAACCCAUAAAACCUUUAAGAUUUUCCAUCCACAACCGUGUAAAAACUAGCCACAAAACACUUUUCUGAUACCAUUUCAGAUCAAGAGUUCAACGAGCUUAAAGUUUCAGAUUUCCGAAUCUGAGUCGAGUUCAAAUUUCGGAUCUCGCCAAUUAUUUGAUUUUCCGAUGAAGUUCAAUCCGUCGAUGCUGUUCUAGAUGGUGAGGACACGUGCGGCCGGAUCAACCAGACGGCCACCAAUACCACGAGUUAGGCUGCGAUAGGGGCCAAGGUACAACUUGUACUACAUCCAGAACAGCACAUGUGGAGCCACCAGUUGCUCUAACUGAGGAUCAGACACCAGAUGUUGUUGAGCUGGUGGUACUAAGUCAGGCACCAAUAGUGCCCAUCGUUAUUUCUGGCCUUUAAGAGGCCUUAUCCUAGAUUUUGACUAUAUGUACGAGCCUGGCUCAGGCGGUUUCGGUUCUAGCUACACUAGCCACUUCAUAGGCUGGGGGAGGUGGCCAAACUCGGUUGCCCUUACACCAAAGCGGCUAGCCCAGGGUCACCAGACAUCGGGUGUAUUGCCAGUUUAGCCGGUUGUCGCUGCUUGGGCCGAGGUUGGUCUACUUGUGAGUGAUGAGGAUAAGAAGAGAUUAGAGUGGUUUUGAAAGCUUAAGCCCCCAGAGUUUAGUGUGGUAGAGUCAGAGGAUGUGUAGGAUUUUCUAGAUAAGUUUCAGCAGAUCAACAAGUAUUUUAGAUACAAGUGAGGUUGCAUUUACUACUUUUUAGCUUACAGGGGGUAGCUUAUAGAUGAUGGCAAACUAAUGAGUUAAGCAGACAAUCCGAUGCAGUGCCACUCA
Nicotiana tabacum (common tobacco) is the source of this 1230-nucleotide non-coding RNA. NCBI's taxonomy places the organism in Eukaryota, Viridiplantae, Streptophyta, Magnoliopsida, Solanales, Solanaceae. The record is from RefSeq and is a predicted model, not a curated record.